UGGGAGUAAGCGAAAGGAAUGCAGAGCUGUGAUAGAGACCUCUGUGCCAGGUGCCAUGAGACAAGCUGCAAGCAACUGCUAGUUAUGAGAACCGUGCCUUGUUGUACUUAGCAUGUUAUUUGUACUGCUCUAUAUAAAUGGCUGUGUGCAGUUAUUAAAUGGCUUUGGCUACUAGUAAUCAUACUGGUGUGUUGCCUCAUCCAUGCUGCUCCUCGGCUGAAUAUUGCUCUCCAGGGAACCUUGGACAAGUUGCUUGGCGACACUAACAUGAAGACAGAUGACAGAAGCUGCAUCCUGUAGUCUGAGGGGAAUGAAGACUGCAAGGCCUUGGGACGAUUGGUGAAAGACUCUGGGGUGCAAGCUAUUUUCUCUUCCCUCCUUCCAUUUUCAGCAGAUUCUGAGUAAGGUCCACUUGUACCAAACAAAAUCUCAAGGACUGGAAGAUAUUCAGACUCUGCAAGCAAGGUGACAUUGGCUGAUUAAUUUAUUUGAUUUGUACCACAGUGGAAAAGUAGUGUAUCUCUUUCAUCUUGAUGAAAUAGGUGAAGAAAAUGCAUGUUUUAAGUGACUGUUUGGUACUCUCCUGUAAAAUGUGCACUGAGAUAAUUAAGAUACACAUGAAUAGAAUGCAAAUAUCAUACUAACUGUGGUGUCAGACAACCUAUCACCUAAGUCCUUAUCAGCACCUGAGGAAUGGAAAGCAGCAAAGACAAUCCACCCUUUGAGAAGGAAUCCAAGUUACUUUUCCUUCAUGAACCCACGCUGCCUGUGAGCAGUGAUGACAUUGUUUUUCAGCGUAAUUUUCUCCAUCAUUUUUGCAGGUGGGAUUGACAGGUCCAUAAUUACCAGGGUCUUCUCCAUUGCUCUUCUUGAAAAUAGAAGCAAUGUUUUCCAACUUUCACUCAAGUGGGACCUCUUCAGAUUUCUAAGACCACUGAAAAAUAAUGUUGGAUUCAAAUUUGUCUUACCAAGAAAUUUGUGUCAUUUCUAAUAGUUUCCUGUAAACCUUUUUCAGGUUCAGAAAGACAAGUAAUGUUAAAUCUAGGAAAAAAAAAAAAAAAAAAAAAAAAAAAGCAAUCAAAACUGAGAACAUAUCAGAAAACAUAGUACAUCACUGGUGUUCCCAUCUUGAAUACUGAAUGAAGUUCUGAUAAAAUCAACUUAAAGAGAAGUACAGAACUAGAAAACAUGUAGAAAAAGAAUGAGGAAGAUGAUCAGAAGUAAGGAACAGACUCCACCUGAAAGAAUAAACAGCCUAUCACUUUAGGUUUGUAAAUCUUGGAAGAGAUUCACUAGUUUGCAUGAUACAAAAAGUACUGUGUGCGCUUUUCAGUAUGCUUCCUUCUGCUCUUAACUCUUAAGUUAUUAUUACUAAGAGAUGGAAAGCACCACUGAAUAUUUCCACUGUUGCUCUCAACUAUAUCUACUGCACACUGAUGUUCACUGUAGAGUAGUUGUGUAAACUCUUCAAAAGAUUAUUCAUACUAAUAUUGCAAAAACAAGCACUUGCAAGUUAUGAUUGAGGAUGCCUUUACAAUAAAGUUUCUGCCCUCUUGUACAUGCAUACUCUAUACCUCUUUUUCCAAACACCUCCUAUCUCAUCAUUGCUUAGGGUGGCUGACACUCCCCAGGUGAGCUACUUAGUCAAUGUUAUGUUCUAUCACCAUAAUUCAGUGACGACACAGUGUAGUUCUUUUGCACUAUGCCAUCGAGCUCAAGCUGUGAACGCAGAAUUAUUCUUUUCCCAUGGGCAUUGUGACUUGAUUUUCCCCCAAGUUCUCUCUUUGACUUUUCAAUUAAGUCUGAAAAUUCUGUAAGGGAAUACAGUAGAUGAAGGGAGUUUUUACUU
Molecule: long non-coding RNA, 1849 nt
Filed under: Gallus gallus (chicken)
Lineage: Eukaryota; Metazoa; Chordata; Aves; Galliformes; Phasianidae
Description: lncRNA (ENSGALG00010016320.1)
Source: RNAcentral